RNAcentral lists this long non-coding RNA (442 nucleotides) under Bos mutus (wild yak). RNAcentral describes it as "lncRNA (ENSBMUG00000013465.1)". Lineage: Eukaryota; Metazoa; Chordata; Mammalia; Artiodactyla; Bovidae. The record is from RNAcentral.
CCCGUAUAUAUUAAGCUGAUAUUUGACUUGUUUUCUGUAGCUCAAAUUCAGUCCCAACAAAUGGAUGAUCUAAAUUUAAGACUUGUUUUUAUUUUCUGUUGUUGAAUUUUAAAAUAGGCGAUGCCACCAUAUGGAUCGAAUUCUGUCUUCAAAUGGAAAGAGAUAUUUUCAAACAUCCUUGAAUUGAGCAUGCAGAAUGAGGGCGGCAUGAUGCUUACAUACCCACUAAUCUCUGUUAUGACAUGUCUGCAUGACGGAGAGGAUCAUACUCCUGGGUUGAGGAAAGGAGGGCUGUCCACAGAUGACACAAUCAAGAGAUGCAGUGGCCCACAGAGAAUGCAAACAGACAAAAAAGACUCACCAUGCCAGCUGCCUUUUAAAAGAAAAUGCCAAUUAAGGAAAAAAAUCGCCUUUCCAAAGAAAUGAUAUAGCAAAAGGGGAA